RNAcentral lists this long non-coding RNA (1040 nucleotides) under Gadus morhua (Atlantic cod). Its description in RNAcentral is "lncRNA (ENSGMOG00000026874.1)". Lineage: Eukaryota; Metazoa; Chordata; Actinopteri; Gadiformes; Gadidae. The record is from RNAcentral.
AGGUAAGGCAUUAUGAAAAAAUGUGCAUGCACAAUAAAUCCUUACAUUUUUUUUUCCAUUUUUCUUUUCCCUCUAGGCUAAAACCCUGAUGUUUUGGAAACCUAAAAAGCCCCCGGACAUGACACUAUAUUUUGAGAAGGAGUAUUCUUCCAUAUGGGGGGAAUAUAGUGAGUUUGAAUCUCUUGGCACGGUGCUGCUCAGUAGAAGUCAACGGACAGUUUGAUGUCCAACAGCAUCUGACCCUUCAAUCAAGUGAGUUAAAAAAUUAUUGAAAAGGCAGCUGCUUGUACGAUGAAGGAAGAACUAAAUAUAGAAUAUAUUGAAAGCUGGCCAAUGCUUUGCGCCAGCUAUGCAUUAGUUCAAACUUGAUAUGUAAAUUGAUAAAUCGCCUUUCCUGAAUACAAAUAUGACCACCAGAAAACUAGGCAAAUAAGCAAAACUUAUGUGGGACUGAUUGUGUGUGUGUAUAUCUGUGAUUUUGUAUUUUGUCGUAUGUUGAUCACUUUAGUUUCCUUUUCGGUCGGAAAAGGGCUGAAGAAUCAGUUGGAAUUGACAGCAUGAAGGAGGAGAUAUAGUAACCAACCAAUUCAUUUUCGAUUUUCUGCUAGUACAUUGCCUUUUCAUUGGUUUAUAUAUAUAUAUAUAUAUAUAUAUAUAUAUAUAUAUAUAUAUAUAUAUAUAUAUAUAUAUAUAUAAUAUUAUAUAUAUUCUUGAAUCAUACUGUUGCAGGUCAUCUACCAGCCAUCAAACUGCACAGCUAUAUUUAUAAUAAUAAUAAUGAUGGAUUUAAUUUAUAUAGCGCUUUUCUAGACACUCAAAGACGCUUUACAGUGAAGGGGGGGACCUCACUCUAACCACCACCAGUAUGUAUCACCCACUUGGGUGAUGCACGGCAGCCAAUCUGCGCCAGAACGCUCACCACACACCAGCUUGAGGUGGAGGGCGAGGGAAUUAAUGAGUCAACAUUUACAUUUAUUUAUAUAAAUAUAGAUGUAUAUAUAUUUAUAUACGGAUACAUACACAGUUUGUGAACCAGUCAG